This 424-nucleotide ribosomal RNA is filed under the name Verrucomicrobiota bacterium. Its description in RNAcentral is "Verrucomicrobia bacterium partial 16S ribosomal RNA". It matches the Rfam family "Bacterial small subunit ribosomal RNA", at positions 355 to 776 of the family's 1533-position model. Lineage: Bacteria; Pseudomonadati; Verrucomicrobiota. The record is from RNAcentral.
UGAGGAAUAUUGGUCAAUGGACGCAAGUCUGAACCAGCCAAGUAGCGUGCAGGAUGACGGCCCUAUGGGUUGUAAACUGCUUUUAUAUGGGGAUAAAGUGGGGAACGUGUUCCCUUUUGCAGGUACCAUAUGAAUAAGGACUGGCUAAUUCCGUGCCAGCAGCCGCGGUAAUACGGAAGGUCCAGGCGUUAUCCGGAUUUAUUGGGUUUAAAGGGAGCGUAGGCUGGAGAUUAAGUGUGUUGUGAAAUGUAGACGCUCAACGUCUGAAUUGCAGCGCAUACUGGUUUCCUUGAGUACGCACAACGUUGGCGGAAUUCGUCGUGUAGCGGUGAAAUGCUUAGAUAUGACGAAGAACUCCGAUUGCGAAGGCAGCUGACGGGAGCGCAACUGACGCUUAAGCUCGAAGGUGCGGGUAUCAAACAGG